GACGCCGUGGUGGCAAUUUAGGGAUUUCACCCCUGCUUUAACUCAUUGUCGUUCUUGAACAUCAAUCGCCAUGGUUCAAUGCGACCUUUCGGUACCUGUCACUCGUCAGUUCCCAUCUCCCCUAUAACCUAAUGUUCGAUUCUUAAAGCUUCCAUCAAUGGCGAUGAAUCCCAUCUCCCCUCUGGCUUGUUUUUCGUUUCUUACCUCAAUCAACCAGAUCUUGUGAGAUGGAUAGAAUGUUCAAAAAUCUAGGGUUCAAUGUCAGAAUUGCAAGGUGAAAACGAAGAUUACAAUUGAUUUGAGAUCCUCCCACGAAGAUUCACAAAUAGAUUUGAUUACAAGACCCUAAAAUCGUUCAAGUUGGGGCCAUUUGGAAUCGCAUUGAUUUGACUUGCUGUAGUCAGAGUAGACUUUGAUCCAUUCAAGUGAUAAAACUGCUACUGGAUUUGCCAUGUAGACCAGACACCAAACUACCAGGGUUGGUGACGAUGGGCUUUAAGGAUGAAAAAUGUUGAGGUAAUCACAUGGUAAAACCGAUGGCGCACUACUCUUGGAGUGUACAUAUUUCAGUACUAAAAUCACAAGUUUACACAUUCUUAUAGUGGUUUAAUCCAUGUCUUUGACCGGUAUUGUUAUAGUUUGAAGCAAAGUUGGGUAAUCGGAGAUGAUACAAUAAAUGAAACUGCAUCUUUAUAAGUUUUUGUUUGUUGGUUGCAUGAUUAUUCUUUGUUUAGUUUAUUGUUUUAAUGUUUUUCUUGUUCAUGGUUUAUAAACUAUGCAAGCACUCCUUUAUAGUUUUAACUCUCUGUAACAAGU
This 816-nucleotide long non-coding RNA is filed under the name Helianthus annuus (common sunflower). Its description in RNAcentral is "sRNA HanXRQr2_Chr17g0831081". The record is from RNAcentral. Lineage: Eukaryota; Viridiplantae; Streptophyta; Magnoliopsida; Asterales; Asteraceae.